Molecule: ribosomal RNA, 271 nt
Filed under: uncultured prokaryote
Description: partial 16S ribosomal RNA
Rfam family: Bacterial small subunit ribosomal RNA
Source: RNAcentral
UACGGAGGAUCCGAGCGUUAUCCGGAUUUAUUGGGUUUAAAGGGUGCGCAGGCGGGAGAUUAAGUCGGCGGUGAAAUUUUGCAGCUCAACUGUAAAAGUGCCUUCGAUACUGGUUUCCUUGAGUGUAGAUGAAGUAGGCGGAAUUUGUGGUGUAGCGGUGAAAUGCAUAGAUAUCACGAGGAACUCCGAUUGCGCAGGCAGCUUACUAAACCAUAACUGACGCUCAGGCACGAAGGCGUGGGGAUCAAACAGGAUUAGAUACCCGGGUAGU